CUACGGGAGGCAGCAGUGGGGAAUAUUGCACAAUGGGCGAAAGCCUGAUGCAGCGACGCCGCGUGAGUGAAGAAGUAUUUCGGUACGUAAAGCUCUAUCAGCAAGGAAGAAAAUGACGGUACUUGACUAAGAAGCCCCGGCUAACUAACGUGCCAGCAGCCGCG
RNAcentral lists this ribosomal RNA (164 nucleotides) under uncultured Clostridiaceae bacterium. RNAcentral's name for it is "partial 16S ribosomal RNA". It matches the Rfam family "Bacterial small subunit ribosomal RNA", at positions 339 to 519 of the family's 1533-position model. The record is from RNAcentral. Lineage: Bacteria; Bacillati; Bacillota; Clostridia; Eubacteriales; Clostridiaceae.